CCUACGGGGGGCAGCAGUGGGGAAUAUUGCGCAAUGGGCGAAAGCCUGACGCAGCGACGCCGCGUGAGGGAUGAAGGUCUUCGGAUCGUAAACCUCUGUCAGCAGGGAAGAACGGUCACUGUGCUAAUCAGCAGUGAAUUGACGGUACCUGCAAAGGAAGCACCGGCUAACUCCGUGCCAGCAGCCGCGGUAAUACGGAGGGUGCGAGCGUUAAUCGGAAUUACUGGGCGUAAAGCGCUCGUAGGCGGUAUGUCAAGUCAAGGGUGAAAUCCCCGCGCUCAACGUGGGAACUGCCUUUGAAACUGGCAAACUGGAGUGUGUGAGAGGAUAGUGGAAUUCCAGGUGUAGGAGUGAAAUCCGUAGAUAUCUGGAGGAACAUCAGUGGCGAAGGCGACUAUCUGGAACAUAACUGACGCUGAGGAGCGAAAGCGUGGGUAGCAAACGGGAUUAGAUACCCCAGUAGUC
This 465-nucleotide ribosomal RNA is filed under the name uncultured bacterium. Its description in RNAcentral is "partial 16S ribosomal RNA". It matches the Rfam family "Bacterial small subunit ribosomal RNA", at positions 338 to 795 of the family's 1533-position model. The record is from RNAcentral.